This 569-nucleotide non-coding RNA is filed under the name Pan troglodytes (chimpanzee). The record is from RNAcentral. Lineage: Eukaryota; Metazoa; Chordata; Mammalia; Primates; Hominidae. RNAcentral also lists the same sequence under 1 other name.
AGCUGUCAGCGGCAGCCGAGGCUAGCGCGGGACGUCGCCACCCUAGCGCCAGGCCGGAGCUAGCAGCCGCGGAGCCGCGGAGAGCGGAGGGGGCGGCGGGGCCGGGCGUGGCGGGUCCCCUCGCCGCCCACUGCGCGCUCGAACCCUGGGCCCCGCGAGCGGCGGGCGGCACCCGCUGUAAUGCGGAGAAUCCUCCGGCACCCACAGGCCCUGAGGCUCCAGUGCCCACAGGCAGAGAGGGCGACUGAGUCCAGCCCAGGCUGAGCCCUGCCCAGCUGUACUCCCCAGACACCCACCCAACCCGAGGUGUCCCACCGAGGAGGCCCUGAUCUUGAGCCCGGAGCCCUGAGCCCUGAGACGAUGCUUGAGGAUCUUAUGACCAUGACCUGGCUACCUUGAGUCUGUGGGGCUACACAGCCUUCAGCCUGCAUCUCCAGGGCUCUGACUCUAUCCAGCUCCUGGACCAGCUCCCAAGUCUACUCCUGACCCCAGCCUGGGCCAAGGGGACUUCUCAAGCUUUGGGACCCAGCAGGACACAGCAGCAGUCAGGUGCAUGCUGGGACCGCGAC